This 253-nucleotide ribosomal RNA is filed under the name uncultured bacterium. Its description in RNAcentral is "partial 16S ribosomal RNA". It matches the Rfam family "Bacterial small subunit ribosomal RNA", at positions 524 to 776 of the family's 1533-position model. The record is from RNAcentral.
UACGAAGGGGGCUAGCGUUGUUCGGAUUUACUGGGCGUAAAGCGCACGUAGGCGGAUAUUUAAGUCAGGGGUGAAAUCCCGGGGCUCAACCCCGGAACUGCCUUUGAUACUGGGUAUCUCGAGUUCGAGAGAGGUGAGUGGAAUUCCGAGUGUAGAGGUGAAAUUCGUAGAUAUUCGGAGGAACACCAGUGGCGAAGGCGGCUCACUGGCUCGAUACUGACGCUGAGGUGCGAAAGCGUGGGGAGCAAACAGG